GAGUGUAAACUCCUUUUGUUAGGAAAGAGAUUAUGACGGUACUCUUAUAGGAAUAAGCACCGGCUAACUCCGUGCCAGCAGCCGCGGUAAUACGGAGGGUGCAAGCGUUACUCGGAAUCACUGGGCGUAAAGGACGCGUAGGCGGAUUAUCAAGUCUCUUGUGAAACCUC
RNAcentral lists this ribosomal RNA (170 nucleotides) under Campylobacter rectus. RNAcentral describes it as "partial 16S ribosomal RNA". It matches the Rfam family "Bacterial small subunit ribosomal RNA", at positions 421 to 603 of the family's 1533-position model. Lineage: Bacteria; Pseudomonadati; Campylobacterota; Epsilonproteobacteria; Campylobacterales; Campylobacteraceae. The record is from RNAcentral.